Molecule: ribosomal RNA, 774 nt
Filed under: uncultured bacterium
Lineage: Bacteria
Description: bacterial SSU rRNA
Rfam family: Bacterial small subunit ribosomal RNA
Source: RNAcentral
CGGUGAAAUGCGUAGAGAUCGGGAGGAAUACCAGUGGCGAAGGAGGCCUUCUGGACUGACACUGACACUGAGGUGCGAAAGCGUGGGUAGCAAACAGGAUUAGAUACCCUGGUAGUCCACGCCGUAAACGAUGUCAACUAGCCGUUGGGUCCCUUGAGGACUUAGUGGCGCAGCUAACGCAGUAAGUUGACCGCCUGGGGAGUACGGCCGCAAGGUUAAAACUCAAAUGAAUUGACGGGGGCCCGCACAAGCGGUGGAGCAUGUGGUUUAAUUCGAUGCAACGCGAAGAACCUUACCUACCCUUGACAUCCAGAGGACUUUCCAGAGAUGGAUUGGUGCCUUCGGGAACUCUGAGACAGGUGCUGCAUGGCUGUCGUCAGCUCGUGUUGUGAAAUGUUGGGUUAAGUCCCGUAACGAGCGCAACCCCUAUCCUUAUUUGCCAGCGAGUAAUGUCGGGAACUCUAAGGAGACUGCCGGUGACAAACCGGAGGAAGGUGGGGACGACGUCAAGUCAUCAUGGCCCUUACGGGUAGGGCUACACACGUGCUACAAUGGCAAGUACAAAGGGUUGCAAUACUGCGAAGUGGAGCCAAUCCCAUAAAGCUUGCCUCAGUCCGGAUUGGAGUCUGCAACUCGACUCCAUGAAGUCGGAAUCGCUAGUAAUCGUGGAUCAGAAUGCCACGGUGAAUACGUUCCCGGGCCUUGUACACACCGCCCGUCACACCAUGGGAGUGGACUGCACCAGAGAGUGGUUAGCCUAACCUUCGGGAGGGC